Molecule: long non-coding RNA, 1495 nt
Filed under: Monodelphis domestica (gray short-tailed opossum)
Lineage: Eukaryota; Metazoa; Chordata; Mammalia; Didelphimorphia; Didelphidae
Description: lncRNA (ENSMODG00000051288.1)
Source: RNAcentral
UUGGAAUUAUAUUUGAUGGGAAUUUGUUCUUUUGAUUAUGAAGUCCCUCUAAAUGAAACUUUCUAUUUGUCUAAUAGUAAAGUUUGGUUCUGUGAAUGAGGUACUUUGUGCUUUUGGAAUUUAAUAUUAAAGAAUUAUAAAUGAUGUCAAGUGAUUAAAACAAAAUGAUAAAUUCAGGGAAUAGGAACACGUUGAGUGUGUAUUGGAGUCAGCUAAUUAUUACAUUUUCAUUGUGAACGUUUAUAUCUCAGAAAUUGAUAGCUAUACAUCAGGACUUAAUUUUUUUGUUUUGUUGAUUGCCUAAGAAAAUCUUAAUAAUGCAGAUUAAAAUUAUAUGUGUAUUCCUAGGUGCAUUUUUUUCCAUAAAGAGAGCCUCUAUGGUGCUAUAAACAUUGCUUGAGUUUAGCAGGAAUGCAGUAGAGGAAAAAAUCAUUACCAGAAUGGAGGACUCAUAAUCGUAGGAUAAUAAUAAUAAUAAUAAUAAUAAUAAUAAUAAUAAUGAACAUAUAGCAUUUAUAUAGCAUUUUAAUGUUUGCCAAAGGUUUGACAUUCAACAUCUCAUUUUAGCCUUAUAAUAUUCCUGGAUGAAAUGAUCACCAAAUUAAUUUCUGGAACAAAAUUUUAGCCAGGGCCUGAUUAACAAAACAGAAAUAGAGAUGGAAGUUUGGAAGUUCACUAGAAAAUUUCAGACCUCCUCCCCUUCUUUUACUUUGUUACUUGUCUAUCUGAAUUUAAGGGACUUAACCUGUUUCUCUCUCUUUUCCCCUCAUCGAUAUUACAGAGAGUGGAGAAGUGGAUUUAAGAACCUUAGGGGAGUCUUUGAAUAAAAUAGAAGAAUUUAAUGAAGCCAAACGAAUCCAAAGUACCUGUAGCAUGGUCAGCCACAUCAGUGAAGGGAAAGUCAAGAUGGAAGAUCUCCCAGAUACCCUAUCCAGCUUAGAAGUGGAGUGUACUGAGGAAGAACUAAAAGAAGCCUUAAAAACAGCUGUACCUGAUGAGAAUAACAUGGUGAAUUUAAAUACCUUGAUUGCGGUUUUGUCCAAAAAUCAUGAGAUGUCUGAUGAGAAAAAACGUGAGUGUGAACUUCAAAACAGAAAUGGUUGAUACCUAGUCAGUUAUAUAACUCUAUUAUUUAAAUGGAAAUUUAUUAUAAAUAGUAACCACUUGACGUACCUUUUUUUUUUCUAUUUUAGGAUAAACUUUAAGCUAAUCAAUAUUAAUUGAACAGUUUCUUUGUGUUAGAUGUUUUUUUACUUACUCUAAGCAAUGGGCAUGACAUGUGGGUGGUAGAGAAAAGGGUUUGGUUUACAUUUGCCAUGCUUCUGAAGUACCUAAAUACAUUUUGGGAAACUCCAAAACCAACCUGUUUAACACUAGGACCUUCAAACUUUCACAACUGAUGAAGAGGAAUUCUUGUCAGUAGACUGUGAGCCAGAGCUUGUCCUUGUUUCCUAACUGGUUAUACACUGGGAGGCUAGGAUAAAAUGUGAGUCCU